CCGAGUUAUACAACUCAUCAACCCUGUGAACAUACCUAAACGUUGCUUCGGCGGGAUUGCCCAGGCCGUCGCCCCUGUACCAACGGCGCCCCCGCCGAGGACCAUUACAACUCUUGUUCCUCUUCUUAUACAUUGAUCUUUCUCGCGCUCCUAGCGAGCGUUCGAAAUAAUCA
RNAcentral lists this unclassified non-coding RNA (173 nucleotides) under soil metagenome. RNAcentral describes it as "partial internal transcribed spacer 1". The record is from RNAcentral.